GUCCUUUGUAUGUGUUUGAUUUAAUAGUUAAAGUAAAGAAGGUAAAGUGAAAUGUGAUUUAUAUAGAUAUUUUCAAGAUAAAUAUCAUAGUGUCUUAGAGCAGAGUGACCUGUUUCUGAAACAGAAAUGGACCACAAAGUAAGUUUAAAAAGCUGAGGUUUUAGCUGCUUUUAACAAAUGCCACUGAGUUCACAGAUCUCUGUGGGAGAGAGCUCCAGAGUCUGUGAGCCACUGUCUCCAUGCAGAGCUCUAAAAAUCAAAACCAGUAUCUUAUAUGUGUCUCUGAAGCUAAUAGGGAGGCAGUGCAAUUGAAUUAUCAAUGGUGUGACAUGUAAUUACAAUUCUGACAAAAACCAUUCUGAGCAAGUUUUGAUAAGACAGUUGAAAAGAAGCUCCGUGGAGUCUUCCAUUAAAAAAAUUAGUUUCUUGCCAAAAUUCACUUUUUGUGUUCAGCUUCAAUCGAGGUUUUCUCAAGCAACAUUUACAGAGCCAGUUCCUGUAAUAUUUCAAACCCUGUAUCCAUAUUUGUCAAAGUCUUAGGAUUAGUGACAUGAGUGAGGUUUGAGGUAAAACUGCAUUUUUAAGCCUUUUAAAAUAUAUAUAGAAGCAUUAUGCAGUCAUUUGAAAAUCUUAUAAACCCUCAUUUAGAAAAUGUAUUAUUUUCUCUGUUACACUAUGAAUAAAGCAUAUAGAGUAUAGAAGUAUAGACAUAGAACAUUUUGUGAGUUUCAUAGGCUUAAAAGUACAUCUUUUUUAGAGUUAAAGACUGUCCACCUCCAUUUACUGUCAUUUUGGUUUUGUCAUCUUGGUCAUUCCAUUAGAGAAAGACGAAAAACAAACAAACAUCUAUUAAUUGAAAAAUCAGGUUAUUGAGUAUAUUCAGAUAAUCUGUUGGCAUCAUUUUUUGGAUAUAUCCGCCACACAAACUGCCUAUUCUUCAUCCUUUAUGUUAUUCAAUUUCAAUUAAUGUGCAUCUUAAAUAAUUAACUGUAUUUAUCUUAGAUAAAAUGUGUUUUAGGGAUGCAUUCAAAACUCCUCCUAUAAAUGUUCACAGUGUUCAAACAUUGAAUGUCAACAGAUUACACAGUUGUUUUCAGCAUGCUGGACUGUUUGUGUUUCAGCCUGUGGUUAGUCUGUUAACAUAAGCCAGCAGCUCUGUGGUUGUCCACUUUCCUGUUUCUGAUGUAACACCUCAACGGCUCAGGAUUUACUGCAGGGCAGUAAAAUAUUAUUAUUUUUUUUUAACUCUGUGUAGGCACAAUUAAUAUUAAAGUUGUAUGACAUCUUAACAUCUUCACCAGUUGGUGCAUUCCCACCAUUAUCAGCAUCUCUCCAUCCUCUAUAAACACUCUGAUCUGGGUCAGAGUGAGUAUCAGAUCUGUUUUCAUUUUCAAAAUAGUAAAUUUAUGUAAGAAAAAACGAAACUCUCCAGUUCUUGUAUUCAUACCUAUCAUCUGUCUUACUUGUACCUGGGAUAAGGUGCCAGCAACAUCUGCACAAAGCAGCUGUUUCACUGCUAGUUGCUGAUGGAAGAAAUGUUUUCAUUCAUUUUUUCAUUAUGUCCAAUUUAAAUUUGAAUACUGGACACAAAAGAAUAAUUUUGCAAUAUAAUUUAGAUAUUAACAUUAGUAUCUAUAGGACUGUACUGCCUUCAGUGAUUUUCUCCAUGUGUGUUUUAUUGUGCAGGGACUGAUCCAGCUGCAGUCUACUCAGCAGUGAGAACUGAAGAUGUCAAUUAUGGGCAAAUCACCAUCAAAGAGAAGCAAAGAAAAUCAAAGAAAAGAGAGUGUGAUCCAGCUGCAGUCUAUUCAUCAGUGCGAACUGGAGACGUCAGUUAUGAUCAAAUCACCAUCAAAGAGAAGAAAAACAGAUCUAAGAGCAGAGGAAAGAUGACCACAGGGGUUCUGAAACCUGCUGACAGUUUCUAAGAAAUCUGCUCAAGAUGCUGACUGGGAAAUAAUAACUCUACUUUUAACACACAUCCUGUAUACUGACAGCACUUUAAGUUUCACUACUUGCAUUGAUGUCUUUUCAGACAUUGUUCCUCAAAAAGCCUCAAAAACCUUUUAAUUUGUUGUUAGUGCAUGCAACAACUAAUAUAGUGACUAUAAAGCAGAGGUAAUAGCAUUAAUAGAUUAUUGACCCUUAUGUGGAGCCAUGAGGAGACCACAGCCAACUUCUAAAGUCUUGUCGCCUACAAUCAGUGUUAAAGCCCUUUACGAGGCUGCAGAUAAACUCUUAGAACUUGAGUUAACUUUUAUAGCAGAACCUUUUUUAAAAGAAGAAUUUCUUCACAACUCUUGUUCGUAUGGGCACAUUUUAAUCACGUUUAAAGUGACAUCACAAUGACCUGAAUGUUUCUAGCUCUAAGUUUCUCACAUGUUUAAGAAUGAGUCUUGGGUCAACUUUCAACCUGGACAUUAUUAUUUAUUUUUAUCUGGUCACAUGGUGCUCUAUAUCUCAUUUGUGCCCAUCUCAGUCCAGCACCUUGAGCGUUUACUGAGAAAUACUUAUCUGUCAUCAGGUUGUAAGUCAUUAUCAGCAGAGGUUUAGAGUAAAACCAUUGUGAGACUUUACCUGUGAUGAGGCAUUUGGUGUCAGAACUGAAGAAGAUUCUUAGUUGAAAGGUGUGAUGUCAAGAAACGUGAUGAAGUCCAGUCACAUUCUUUCCGAACAACAGAUACAGAGAUGGUUUUCUUGAGGCUGAAAGAAUUCUGAUUGUUUUUAACUGGGAACUGAAGGAGCUUGGAAUUGGCUGAUUGUGUAUGUUAUAAUCUUAACAAGUGUUUUUAAUAUAACAUGCAACAAAAUAAAACCCAAUUCACAACGUUAAAGAAAUUGUAGAGCCUGAAGAACCAAAACACCAAAAUUUUAAAAUGAUGUUUCUUAUACACUUCACAUAUACAAUUACAGUAUUGAGCAAAGUCUUGAGCCACCCCUCUUUUUUAAAAUUUUGUAUCCAAGGAGAUGCAAAAUAAGAAAUUAUUUUCUUGUAAUACAUUAAAGUGGUCUUGAGUAAUAUUUCUCCAGGCUUCCUGAAGUUUUGUUUUGGACAUUGGCUUAUUUUUUUCACUCAUUUUCAUCCCAGUUUCCAUUUUCAACUUUGAGUAGGGGAAUGGGUCCUUACUGUCUGUCUGUUCAAACAUGCUGAAUGACUGUUUUGAGCAGUUGUCCCCAACCGGUACCGGUACCAAACGACUGGCCCGGUACCAGUCGUUUGGUACCGGGCCGCGAGAGUUGAGACUCGGGUGUGAAAUUGAUGGGAUUUUUAGGGUUGGUAUUAUUAUUUUUUAAGUUGUUUUUAUCGUUGACUCGGUUUCCAUGGGUCUUUUCCCAUGUGUUAUGAAUAAAUCUAAAAGAUUUUUGGUACUGGUACUGGUUUUAUUUUCUUGUAUUUUUCCGCGACACCCUAAAGGCUGGUCCGUGAAAAUAUUGUCAGUCCUAAACCAGUUCGUGGGGCAAAAAAGGUUUGGGACUGCUGGUUUAGCGUAUCUGGCCUUCAUGCAUAACCAUCUGCUUACCCAGCUCUGGGUAAUGAACCUCCAUGACAAACCCUCAUUCACACUCACAUUCUUACUUGUGGCCAGUUCUGAAAGAACAAUAGAAAUCUUUAAUAGCUCUUUGUCAAUUAAAUAGUUAACAUUAGACCUCUGAAUUAAACCAUCUUUAAGGUAAAUGGACCUUGUGUGUUUUCUGCAUGUGAAAGUCUCCCUGACCAAGAUUAAAAGUUAUACAUGUUUAAGACUCUGCUCUUAAAACCACAGCAGCCUCUUAAUCUACUUGUUGUUUCCACUGAACUGAUGUGUGAUACUUAUUAGAUAUUUUACACCACAGUGUAUAUACUUUGUGACAAAGUUUAGUCUGUUUGGCGUUUCGCGGUAAAAUGUGUGUUCUUCUUCUAGUAUUAAUCACAAAUGACCAAAUAUAAUGGGCGGGUCCUUGUUCUUACUCAGUUAAACUUCAUUACAUCAUCUAUAUCAUGGACGUCUGGGUGCUGAACUUUCUUGUAACACCCGGACAAACAGCUGAAAGAAUUUGGCCCCAGGAAUCAGUGUAUAAUACUACAAAUGAUACAGUUUAUUAAAGUGAUUAAAUCCCUUGCUGUGGGUCAUGGGCAAAUUACUUUGCCAAAGGAUAAUGUUGAAGUUUAGAUUUAUGCUCAUAUUUAAUGAUUUAUGAGUCCCAUGUUAACGUUCAGUGUGAGCACAGGAUGUGGUUUAAACUUAGUGAAGAGUUUGAAUUUAAGGGAGGUGAAACCACUGCCUGUUUGUUUUGCACUCUUUGGUCACUUGCAGCUUUUUUGUUGUUAUCCACAGGAUUCACGUAUUUGAGCUGCCCUGCUGGAAGCAUUUUCAGAUUUUGUCUUUCUUUGAGUUUGAAUUGAACACCCAAUAAAAAGAUUACCUAUAUAUGUGAAUAGGUUUCCAAUUUGAAAAUUUAAAUUUUCGUGGAGCUCAUCAGUAUGUUUCUUUUUUUUUAAAACAGGAAGGCUCUGAGUCACAAGUCUUGGUUGGUCUAUUUCACAUUAAAAGCUUAUUUGUGACAGUUUAGCUUCAAGACAGGGGCGAUUCUAGGAUCAGAGCUUUGGGGGUGCUGAGCACCCAGAGAGCUGGCCAUCCAGGCAAGGUAAACUUUACUCGUCACGAUGAGACUUCUUCCCUGUC
Molecule: long non-coding RNA, 4664 nt
Organism: Oreochromis niloticus (Nile tilapia)
Lineage: Eukaryota; Metazoa; Chordata; Actinopteri; Cichliformes; Cichlidae
Exons: 3
Source: RefSeq, a predicted model, not a curated record